CAGUCGCCACGGUAACACGGAGGGUGCAAGCGUUAAUCGGAAUUACUGGGCGUAAAGCGCACGCAGGCGGUCUGACAAGUCAGAUGUGAAAUCCCCGGGCUUAACCUGGGAACUGCAUUUGAAACUGUCAGGCUGGAGUCUUGUAGAGGGGGGUGGAAUUCCAGGUGUAGCGGUGAAAUGCGUAGAGAUCUGGAGGAAUACCGGUGGCGAAGGCGGCCCCCUGGACAAAGACUGACGCUCAGGUGCGAAAGCGUGGGGAGCAAACAGGAUUAGAUACCCGAGUAGUCCCUGUCUCUUAUAC
Molecule: ribosomal RNA, 301 nt
Filed under: uncultured bacterium
Lineage: Bacteria
Description: partial 16S ribosomal RNA
Rfam family: Bacterial small subunit ribosomal RNA
Source: RNAcentral